CUCUCUAUGUGUUUUCACAGAAACCCAGGCCCAGGGAGAACAUUUACCCCUCUUCCUACAUUUCAGAGCUGAAAAUGUCGGAAUUGUCAUGGUAAUGCCCAUAGUUGAUGUGACAGAUACUGAGAAGGAAAAACACGCUUGCCACAUGUGAAAACUGCCUGGUUGGUUCUGCUCUGAGUGCCUCUCUGGAGGGCACAUUGAUGGAUUUGACAAUCACUUAAUUCUACUAGAGCCUGACCUUCAGUCUGGAAGUCAGAUAUACGCAGCAGAGACGUAGAUGAUAGCCGCAGGCUGCUGCUGGUGGGAAGCUGACAGAGUCCACUUUAAAGGACUGCCUUCAGUACCAUCUACAUUCUUCUACCUGGGACUGUGUGUGGCCAUGCGGACAGGCUCUCACCUUCACUAAACAAUUCAACUGCUGAAUUCCAACUAUCACGACAACCAUUUACACCAGUAAAAUGAACCAGAGAAGUCAGUGUAUCAGAACCUAAGACGGGAAAACUCUAUUGGAUUUCCUUUUACCUUAACUCUUAGUCCCUGCUUGCAGCUGAACCUCGGAGAGCAAUCAGCAUUCAAUGUUCUGUAGUAUAAGGAUCCUCCAGCAGAUCAUCUCUAGAGCUAGCUCUGACUUCUGCUCCCAGAGUCACCAUGGUGGUUAAGUAUGAAUUUGAUGGUCAUCUGGAAUCAGACUCUCUCCUCAUGGCUGCAAUUCCUCCGUGGUUCCGGCUGAUUUGAACCUCUCUCCAUCUCUGUGCUCCUUUCCCUGGCUGGUGGAAGUUCUGCCCCAUUCCCUUUUCUGCCCAGCCAUUGGGUGAUCGUCAUUUAUUGACAAGGCAGAGAAUAAAUGAAUUUAGUGGAAAAAGUGGGGACUCUACCGAACCUUAAAACAGACCCAGCUUUCCUCCUUCCUGUGGAUGCUCUCCACCUCUCACUGGAGCCUCCAUGUCAGCCACCUAUUCAUGGAGGCACUCUCCACCUGAGAACCCCCUGCUACACCUGCCUGGGAUUCAGAAUUACAUGUGUCUGUGUUGUCUCCCCAGAGGCAGAGACGGAGAUUGACUGAACCACCAUUCAGAUGGUGCUAUUAAAUUCCAGGAGGUACUUCUGGUGGUGAGUUCUCCAUCACCACUCAGCAUUCCUAGCCAUCAGUCACUGGUGAACGAGGAGAGAGAGGGUGGGGAGAGGGGACCUGACAUACCACAUUCUGUUCAGCUCAUGACUUAGAGCUGAACAGCAGCGUGUGCUGGUACAGGGGCAGAUGAUCUGAUUCUGGCACUGGGAAUCUGUGUUUUAGGCAUCACUUUUAUAAUUUAAGUAAAACUGAGGAUUCAAAAACCA
This 1338-nucleotide long non-coding RNA is filed under the name Mus musculus (house mouse). Its description in RNAcentral is "predicted gene 29571". Lineage: Eukaryota; Metazoa; Chordata; Mammalia; Rodentia; Muridae. The record is from RNAcentral.